GCGUCACAAUUGGUAUCAGAGCUUAGGCUUCAAAUCUUGUAGUGUAUCCUAGGCUUAAAUGUUUAGGAUGCCGGACUGUGGGACUGUUCUGAAAGUUAAAUGAUUGCUUGUAAUGAUAAAAUUUAGAGCCACUUCACGUGGUCUCUACAGAGGAGUAAAAUAGGGCCAAGUGGUGUUAUGGUCCUUCCCAUGUGAUUGAGUAAAGACUUAAGUGCCCUUCUAGAAAUG
This 228-nucleotide long non-coding RNA is filed under the name Coffea arabica (coffee). RNAcentral describes it as "long non-coding RNA (CARA_LNC005939)". The record is from RNAcentral. Lineage: Eukaryota; Viridiplantae; Streptophyta; Magnoliopsida; Gentianales; Rubiaceae.